Molecule: ribosomal RNA, 252 nt
Filed under: uncultured bacterium
Lineage: Bacteria
Description: partial 16S ribosomal RNA
Rfam family: Bacterial small subunit ribosomal RNA
Source: RNAcentral
GACGAAGGUGCAAGCGUUAUCCGGAUUCAUUGGGUUUAAAGGGUGCGUAGGCGGACUGAUAAGUCAGUGGUGAAAUCUCUUUGCUUAACAAAGAAACUGCCAUUGAUACUGUCGGUCUAGAGUAUAGAUGACGUUGGCGGAAUAUGACAUGUAGUGGUGAAAUACUUAGAUAUGUCAUAGAACACCGAUUGCGAAGGCAGCUAACGAAACUAUAACUGACGCUGAGGCACGAAAGUGCGGGGAUCAAACAGG